This 478-nucleotide ribosomal RNA is filed under the name uncultured bacterium. Its description in RNAcentral is "partial 16S ribosomal RNA". It matches the Rfam family "Bacterial small subunit ribosomal RNA", at positions 28 to 523 of the family's 1533-position model. The record is from RNAcentral.
GACGAACGCUGGCGGCGUGCUUAACACAUGCAAGUCGAACGGUAAGGCCCUUCGGGGUACACGAGUGGCGAACGGGUGAGUAACACGUGGGUGAUCUGCCCUGCACUUCGGGAUAAGCCUGGGAAACUGGGUCUAAUACCGGAUAGGACCACUGCCUGCAUGGGUGGUGGUGGAAAGCUUUUGCGGUGUGGGAUGGGCCCGCGGCCUAUCAGCUUGUUGGUGGGGUGAUGGCCUACCAAGGCGACGACGGGUAGCCGGCCUGAGAGGGUGACCGGCCACACUGGGACUGGGAUACGGCCCAGACUCCGACGGGAGGCAGCAGUGGGGAAUAUUGCACAAUGGGAGCAAGCCUGACGCAGCGACGCCGCGUGAGGGAUGACGGCCUUCGGGUUGUAAACCUCUUUCAGCACCGACGAAGCGCAAGUGACGGUAGGUGCAGAAGAAGGACCGGCCAACUACGUGCCAGCCGCCGCGGUAA